CACUAGUCGAGAGUUGUUGCCACUCUCCGAUGAGUCCAAGGCAGAAUGAAACUAGUG
RNAcentral lists this small RNA (57 nucleotides) under Helianthus annuus (common sunflower). Lineage: Eukaryota; Viridiplantae; Streptophyta; Magnoliopsida; Asterales; Asteraceae. The record is from RNAcentral.